UGGGGAAUAUUGGACAAUGGGCGCAAGCCUGAUCCAGCAAUGCCGCGUGUGUGAAGAAGGCCUUCGGGUUGUAAAGCACUUUUAUCAGGAGCGAAACGCUGUCGGCUAAUACCCGGCGGAACUGACGGUACCUGAGGAAUAAGCACCGGCUAACUUCGUGCCAGCAGCCGCGGUAAUACGAAGGGUGCAAGCGUUAAUCGGAAUUACUGGGCGUAAAGCGUACGUAGGCGGUUUCUUAAGUCUGCUGUGAAAUCCCCGGGCUCAACCUGGGAAUGGCAGUGGAUACUGGGAGGCUAGAGUGUGUCAGAGGGUGGUGGAAUUCCCGGUGUAGCGGUGAAAUGCGUAGAGAUCGGGAGGAACAUCAGUGGCGAAGGCGGCCACCUGGGACAACACUGACGCUGAGGCACGAAAGCGUGGGGGAUCAAACAGGAUUAGAUACCCUGGUAGUCCACGCCCUAAAGCGAUGCGAACUGGAUGUUGGUCUCAACUCGGAGAUCAGUGUCGAAGCUAACGCGUUAAGUUCGCCGCCCUGGGGAGUACGGUCGCAAGACUGAAACUUAAAGG
This 564-nucleotide ribosomal RNA is filed under the name uncultured bacterium. RNAcentral describes it as "partial 16S ribosomal RNA". It matches the Rfam family "Bacterial small subunit ribosomal RNA", at positions 355 to 907 of the family's 1533-position model. The record is from RNAcentral.